RNA transcript from Wasmannia auropunctata (little fire ant), 1751 nucleotides. It is a transcript of the gene named DNA-directed RNA polymerases I and III subunit RPAC1, with no coding region annotated. Lineage: Eukaryota; Metazoa; Arthropoda; Insecta; Hymenoptera; Formicidae. The record is from RefSeq and is a predicted model, not a curated record. The transcript has 9 exons.
GAUCACACCGCGCCUAUUCUCUCCCGUCGGCACUUGGAUAGACGUGGUGCGUAAUUCCUUUCUUGAAAACGUGGACGUGGAGCGCUAGUGUACGGGGGAGAUCGCCGGUCCCACCCAAAAGGUCGGCGUGACCGCUGAGGCCGCUCUCGUCUCGUCUUGUAACAACACUACUCCAGUAAUAAUAAAGGCGUUCAAGAAGCACGUGGCCAUUCGCAUUUCAAUUUGAGGAUAGUUGAAAUUUCUUUCGGUUCUUGCAAGAGCCAUCAGUGAGAAUUAUUCAAACACCAGCAACUGCGAGUCGAGAAAAAUAUCAACAAAUUAAAACAAAUAGAUAGUUUAGUACCACUUCUUAUUAAAAAGAAGAAAAAUUAUUAUUAAGUCUUAGUUGUCAAAAUAUAACUAAGCAAUGGAAAAAAAACGGGAUCCACGAUGGAUUAUGAAAGAGCACGAAAAUUUUGAGGAAUAUACAUAUAAUACGUCGGACAAGUUAACAGCGCUGGAGAAAUUUGUAAAGAAUCUGAAGAUAAAUAUAAUACAGGAAGAACGAGACCAAAGAGAAUUAGAAUUCGACAUAAUUGGUUGUCAUACUUCGCUAGCUAAUGCAUUUCGCAGAAUACUUUUGAGUGAAAUACCAAGUAUGGCUAUUGAGAAGGUUUAUAUCAUAAAUAAUACCAGUUUGCUCCAGGAUGAAGUACUUGCACAGAGAUUGGGUCUUAUACCGCUUUGCGCAGAUCCUAGACUAUUUGAGUAUCCUCCGAACGGGAGACCGGAUGAUGAGGUCAGUGAUCAAGAUACUCUGAGAUAUGAAUUGAAAGUCAUGUGCACUGUGAAUCCACAAGCGCCUAAGAAUUCUCGUCUUCCAGAGGAUAUGUACAGAAACAGCAAAGUUUAUAGCAAGGACAUUAAAUGGGUGCCAAUAGGCCGGCAAGCAGAUAUGUUUCCACGAGUGGAUAAGUUCAGUGUCCUAGAAGACGAUAUAUUAAUAUGUAAAAUGCGUCCUGGUCACGAGAUCCAUCUGUUUAUGCACGCAGUCAAAGGCAUCGGCAAGGAUCACGCCAAAUUUUCCCCCGUGGCCACUGCAUCAUAUCGCCUCUUGCCGGCCAUUCAGCUAACCAAGCCCGUGAGAGACGAGGACGCGGAUCUUCUGCAGAGCUGUUUCAGCCCCGGCGUGAUAGAGGUGGUAGAACAAGAGACGAGCACGGGUCAGAAGUACCGUGAGGCACGCGUUAAAAAUGCUCGUUACGACAGCUGUUCCAGAAACGUCUAUCGUUAUGAGCAUCUAAAGAAUUGUGUGGAACUGAGUCGGAUAAAGGAUCAUUUUAUCUUCACCAUAGAAUCUGUGGGAACAUUACCAUCGGCUACGUUAUUCAAGGAGGCCAUUAAAACGCUCAAGAAUAAGUGCAGAACAUUUCUCGCAGAGCUGGAAAACGUAGGAGAAUAAAUUUGGAGUAAAAUGAUCUUCUCGAUGAGGCAAAGAUCGUCAAAAGAGAUCAUCAAAAAUUUAUCAUCCAGAAGUUGUUGCCUGUGCGUCUUGUGAACAGCACCAAUAAGAUCGUGCAAGUAUGAGACACCGGCGAUAGCUGUUGACCGUCUCUGAAGCAAUAUAUUUACAUGCAAUAUAGUUACAUGUUUAUUAGAUUUUUGUAAUAUCCGGACAAUAAAAAUCAAAGUGAUUGUAAAUCUCUUGCAUCAAUACGUGAUCGGUGUGGCAAUAAAUGCAAACACAUAUUAAAGAUUAAAAUGCCUGCAAG